GAGGCGACCGCUAUUGGAAUUCGAUUAAGCCAUGCGAGUCGAGAGUCUUAGGGACUCGGCGUACCGCUCAGUAACACGUGGGUAACCUGCCCUGUGCUGGGGAAUAACCUCGGGAAACUGAGAAUAAUGCCCCAUAGUUCACCACGCCUGGAACGGUGGGUGGAUCAAAGCUCCGGCGGCACAGGAUGGGCCUGCGGCGUAUCAGGUCGUAGGGGGUGUAAUGUACCCUCUAGCCUUCAACGCGUACGGGUUGUGGGAGCAAUCGCCCGGAGAUGGAUUCUGAGACACGAAUCCAGACCCUACGGGGUGCAGCAGGCGCGAAAACUUCACACUGCAGGAAACUGUGAUGAGGGAAUUCCAAGUGGCCAGACAAAGUCUGGUCUUUUACCAACUUUUAAUCGGUUGGUGAAUAAGGGGUGGGAAAGACCGGUGCCAGCCGCCAGUAAUACCGGCACUUCAAGUGGUCGUCGCUUUUAUUGGGCCUAAAACGUCCGUCGCCUGUUUGGUACAUUCGUGGGUAAAUCAAGCCGCUUAACGGCUUGAAUUCUGCGAGGACGGCCAGACUAGGGACCGGGAGAGGUAUGGGGUACUCUCAGGGUAGGGGUAAAAUCCAGUCAUCCUGAGGGGACCACCUGUUGCGAAGGCGCCAUAC
RNAcentral lists this ribosomal RNA (652 nucleotides) under uncultured Candidatus Poseidoniales archaeon. Its description in RNAcentral is "bacterial SSU rRNA". It matches the Rfam family "Archaeal small subunit ribosomal RNA", at positions 20 to 680 of the family's 1478-position model. The record is from RNAcentral. Lineage: Archaea; Methanobacteriati; Thermoplasmatota; Candidatus Poseidoniia; Candidatus Poseidoniales.